UAAAUAAAAAUCGGGGUUGUUGCUGCUUUUUGUGGUGACGCUUCGGAAUUGGGUAGUCUUACCUUCGGGUUAAGUGACCUAAAAUUUUACAUGAUUUUUCGAACGUAUUUGAAUUUUUAUGUACGUUUGUGAUAUCGAUAUUAGGUGUGGUCAUCCUCAUGAUUCACGUCUAUAAUUUUUUUCAUU
RNAcentral lists this unclassified non-coding RNA (186 nucleotides) under uncultured Glomeraceae. RNAcentral's name for it is "sequence contains ITS2". Lineage: Eukaryota; Fungi; Glomeromycota; Glomeromycetes; Glomerales; Glomeraceae. The record is from RNAcentral.